RNAcentral lists this ribosomal RNA (203 nucleotides) under uncultured bacterium. RNAcentral describes it as "partial 16S ribosomal RNA". It matches the Rfam family "Bacterial small subunit ribosomal RNA", at positions 1290 to 1500 of the family's 1533-position model. The record is from RNAcentral.
AGUUCGGAUUGGAGUCUGCAACUCGACUCCAUGAAGCUGGAUUCGCUAGUAAUCGCGCAUCAGCCAUGGCGCGGUGAAUACGUUCCCGGGCCUUGUACACACCGCCCGUCAAGCCAUGGGAGCCGGGGGUGCCUGAAGUACGUGACCGCGAGGAGCGUCCUAGGGCAAAACUGGUGACUGGGGCUAAGUCGUAACAAGGUACC